UACAGAGGGUGCGAGCGUUGUCCGGAAUCACUGGGCGUAAAGGGCGCGUAGGUGGCGACCCAAGUCGCGUGUGAAAGCCCCCGGCUCAACUGGGGAGGGUCACGCGAUACUGAUCGACUCGAAGGCAGGAGAGGGUAGUGGAAUUCCCGGUGUAGUGGUGAAAUGCGUAGAUAUCGGGAGGAACACCAGUGGCGAAGGCGACUACCUGGCCUGUUCUUGACGCUGAGGCGCGAAAGCUAGGGGAGCGAACGGG
Molecule: ribosomal RNA, 253 nt
Filed under: uncultured bacterium
Lineage: Bacteria
Description: partial 16S ribosomal RNA
Rfam family: Bacterial small subunit ribosomal RNA
Source: RNAcentral